RNAcentral lists this long non-coding RNA (203 nucleotides) under Carica papaya (papaya). RNAcentral's name for it is "long non-coding RNA (CPAP_LNC001187)". Lineage: Eukaryota; Viridiplantae; Streptophyta; Magnoliopsida; Brassicales; Caricaceae. The record is from RNAcentral.
AGAUUCAUUUAUCAUAGCUUGUUAAAAAAUAUGUACAUGCACAAUUUCAUGCUCCUUAAACUUGUAACCUGAUAUCUUGCAAGAUCAGGAAAUAACAUAUAAAAUUUGUUCUUCUAAUAAAGCUCCUAGUGAGGCUCCUAGUGAGAUGUGUAAAGGAAAUUGAAGCCAUUCAGCUGUAGUAAUAAUUUUAAUUUUAUUCAUAU